This 200-nucleotide ribosomal RNA is filed under the name uncultured bacterium. Its description in RNAcentral is "partial 16S ribosomal RNA". It matches the Rfam family "Bacterial small subunit ribosomal RNA", at positions 524 to 723 of the family's 1533-position model. The record is from RNAcentral.
UACGGGGGGUGCAAGCGUUAAUCGGAAUUACUGGGCGUAAAGAGUUCGUAGGUGGUAUGAUAAGUCAAAUGUGAAAGCCCAAGGCUCAACCUUGGAACUGCAUUUGAUACUGUCAAACUAGAGUAUAGUAGAGGAGUGAGGAAUUUCUAGUGUAGCGGUGAAAUGCGUAGAUAUUAGAAGGAACACCAAUGGCGAAGGCA